AGGCCAAAGAGGAGAAGGUUGAUCCCGAGAUAAAAAUGGAGGAGGAGUACGAGUAAGUCUGUAGACCCAGCUGUUGUCAACGACGACGAGGAGGAAAACACUAACGACGAAGAUAUCGAGAAUGAUUACAUCUAUUUGCUGUUCUUUGUCAACAAUAAUUGGUAUCUGUUUUUCCGCCUCCAUCACAUUCUAUAUGAGAGCCUGUACAAGAUAUAUAUGUAUUCUGUUAAAAUCGCUGCAGAGGAGGCGCAGUGUAGGAAAGACCGAAAGGCAUCCACUGCAGUGGCCCUCAGACUCAAAGCCCCAAUUGAGAUUGAACCAGAGGAACACUAUCCAUACUUCCUGGAGAUGAUGAAAAGUUUGUUGGAUGGGAACCUAGAAUCCACA
This is a long non-coding RNA of Saccostrea echinata, 387 nucleotides long. RefSeq lists it as uncharacterized. NCBI's taxonomy places the organism in Eukaryota, Metazoa, Mollusca, Bivalvia, Ostreida, Ostreidae. The record is from RefSeq and is a predicted model, not a curated record. The transcript is spliced from 3 exons.